RNAcentral lists this ribosomal RNA (311 nucleotides) under uncultured eukaryote. RNAcentral describes it as "partial 18S ribosomal RNA". It matches the Rfam family "Eukaryotic small subunit ribosomal RNA", at positions 1470 to 1796 of the family's 1831-position model. The record is from RNAcentral.
CCCCUAGACGUUCUGGGCUGCACGCGCGCAACAAUAAUACGCACAGCGAGUAUCACCGAGCUCGAAAGGGCAAGGUAAACAAUAGAAAAGGUACUGUAAUGGUUAUAGAUCCUUGUAAUUAUUGAUCUUCAACGAGGAAUUCCUAGUAAGUAUGUGUCAUCAUCACGCACUGAUUACGUCCCUGCCCUUUGUACACACCGCCCGUCGCUCCUACCGAUUGGGUGAGCCGAUGAAACUCUCGGAUGUAGGCUAUUCAUAGCCCGCAGAAGAGAUUUGAAUCGUAGCGCUUAGAGGAAGGAGAAGUCGUAACA